This 739-nucleotide ribosomal RNA is filed under the name uncultured bacterium. Its description in RNAcentral is "bacterial SSU rRNA". It matches the Rfam family "Bacterial small subunit ribosomal RNA", at positions 33 to 773 of the family's 1533-position model. The record is from RNAcentral.
ACGCUGGCGGGAGGCCUAACGCAUGCAAGCCGAGCGGUAGAGAUUCUUCGGAAUCUUGAGAGCGGCGUACGGGUGCGGAACACGUGUGCAACCUGCCUUUAUCAGGGAGAUAGCCUUUCGAAAGGAAGAUUAAUAUCCCAUAUAUUUUGAGUGGCAUCACUUAAAAUUGAAAGCCCCGGCGGAUAGAGAUGGGCACGCGCAAGAUUAGAUAGUUGGCGGGGUAACGGCCCACCAAGUCAAUGAUCUUUAGGGGGCCUGAGAGGGUGAUCCCCCACACUGGUACUGAGACACGGACCAGACUCCUACGGGAGGCAGCAGUGAGGAAUAUUGGACAAUGGGUGAGAGCCUGAUCCAGCCAUCCCGCGUGAAGGACGACGGCCCUAUGGGUUGUAAACUUCUUUUGUAUAGGGAUAAACCUACCCUCGUGAGGGUAGCUGAAGGUACUAUACGAAUAAGCACCGGCUAACUCCGUGCCAGCAGCCGCGGUAAUACGGAGGGUGCAAGCGUUAUCCGGAUUUAUUGGGUUUAAAGGGUCCGUAGGCGGACUCGUAAGUCAGUGGUGAAAUCUCAUAGCUUAACUAUGAAACUGCCAUUGAUACUGCGGGUCUUGAGUAAGGUAGAGGUAGCUGGAAUAAGUAGUGUAGCGGUGAAAUGCAUAGAUAUUACUUAGAACACCAAUUGCGAAGGCAGGUUACCAUGUCUUAACUGACGCUGAUGGACGAAAGCGUGGGAGCGAAAC